Non-coding RNA from Nylanderia fulva, 2398 nucleotides. NCBI's taxonomy places the organism in Eukaryota, Metazoa, Arthropoda, Insecta, Hymenoptera, Formicidae. The record is from RefSeq and is a predicted model, not a curated record.
UCUAUACAGCUGCCAGACACGUCAUUGCAAAAUGACGAAUGGCAGACAGAUAAAAAAAGUUACAUUUACUGAAAAGGACACAAACUGAAAUUACAAUCUUGUCAGCAAAGAUGUACGUAUUUAUUUAUUGUAAUACUAAAUUCACAAUCAUCCGCAGUUUUAUCAUGCUUUCGGUCUUUAGUCUUAUUUAUCUCCUCUUUUUCUCUUCAGAGAAAAAAUUAAUUUUUAAUCUUUUAUUCAUAGGUUUACUAUAAUUUCAAAGAAAAGCUAUAUAUAAAUUUUGCUUUCAUCAAUCAACUGUAAUCAUUCGCUUCCGGAAAUUUUUAAUCGUAUCUCCGUAUUCUUCAAACAAGGAACCUGCUACUAAAAGUUGAUGAAAAGGGCACAUGAGAACUCGAAGAAAUAUGAAAAAAAGGAAAUAUAAACACACACAACCGGUACGAGCUUCUCGGAAGAAUUUCCAGAGAUGGAUUUUUACAUUUACAUACGUUGCAUUUAAUGUUAAACGUGAUCAUAUCAUUUUGGCAAUAAGUUUUAUAGAAGAAUGAAGAUUUGCGUACAAUAUUACGAUUAAAAUCAACCGAUCUCAGAAGACUGGAGUCUUAUACAUGUCAUACAUUUUCAAUUUGGGACACGUAUUCAUGGAGGAAUGCUAAUUAGCAUAAGAUCAAAAAUAUGCAUAUAAAUAGGAACUGGAAGCGCAAGAAGGACAGUUCAAACAGGCAGCUCUCUCAAACAACAAUUUUUCAUAAUAUACGCAGAGCUGGAGGAGUAUAUUAUUGUUGUUCCGAAGAAAUUCCGAUUGUCGAAGUAUGUAAAUGUUUUGAAAAUAAGAGAGAGAGAGAGAGACUUACCUCCAUUUCGAUCGUUUCCGCCAGCGGGAAUUCAGGACACAGCGAGAAGCCGGCAACGAUGACAGAUUCGAACUGAAUCUUUUAUCAGGCUCUUCUUCAGCAGAUACGAAUAUGGUGCGUCGACCUCGAAAAGAGGAACAAUUUCGUAUGUCGCGUUAUCUGAUCGCGAGGCGCGCCGACAAGUAACGACGUCCCCGCUUAUUAUCAUGCCUCGCGCAACUUAAUUACGUCACUUGUUCAAUAUUUACACCGAUAGCGCGUGUCCCACGCGCACGUAUAAUAUGUACCGGCGAUGGGAAACACGUUGUGUCGUCAGACUUUUCGAAGAAACAACGCUGCAUGACUACGAGUUACGUAUCCUGGACAAGCAUCGCUACUUCUCGAGAUUCUACCAAGAUUCACUGUUGUAUUCUCGAGAACAUUGAUGUAUUUGUGUUAAUAACUCUUAUAUUAUUGGAGUAUUAAUAGAGCUCUAACGCGCUAUUUAGAUUAUAUAUAUUUUUUUCAUUGAAUAUAGAAUAUAGAGGAUGUUAAUAUACGAUAUAUAUUUAAAUUGCACAAUAUAUAUAUUAUGUACGAUUUACAUAAAUGAUAGAAUACACAGGAGUCUGUUAUGCAAGGAUCUCAUCCAAAUUGUAUCUGUCUUUCCUCUUUUCAUAGAAAUCUUUCUGGUUUCACAAAACCAACGAGAAUUCGUUCAUCGAAGUCACGUUCUCCGUUUUUUAAAAGAAAACGUCGAUACAGAUACGAAUCUUGAACGCAAUGUCACGGGGUCGAGUCGUGUAACAGCGUGAAAAUGAUUAACCGGUGUAGAGACACCUGUGUUGUAAUUAAAUUCUCACUCGGUUCGCGAACUGUGAAUGAUGUAAAAAAAUCGCGACAGAUAUUUAUGCGAAAAUAUCUGGAGUAGGCAGGCGAUACGUCAUCGUCGAGCGGAAUCGCGUCGAACGCCGACGACUAGACGACCGUACAUAUGUAUAUUGCACGUUCGUUUUAUUAUCCUGACACGAGCCGCUCAACGGCUGCCAUUUUACCUAUCUCGCGACCUUGUUCUCUGACCGUUCUCCGAACAAAAGCAACAGGACGGCUGGUAUGUAACUUCGGCGGCCAAGCGUGCUGCCGUUGGCGAGCACGAACCGGUCGCGAAUAGUAUCCGCCGGUUUGGCGGAUAAUAAAUAUGCAUAUAAAUGUUUCUUUUUCUAAGGGGGGAGUGAUUUGACUCGACAAAGCUUAUCGCGAAAGAUUUGUCGAGCAAAGCGACGAAAAUAGAUUUUGAAAUAAUUUUUAUUUUCUUCAUAUUAUCAAGGAUCUAUUAAAAAUCGAUUAAAAUUAAAAAGAAGAAUAAAGAAGAAUGUAAUAGAUUCUGUUUGGUCUAAUGGUCUGAUGGUCUGAUGAAUUAAGAACAGAUUUUUCUUGCCGGAGGAUAAUUAGUUACAUUGUAGUAAUUACAGCUUGCAGUAUAUUAUUAAGGUUUGUCUAUGGGAUAGUAUUUUUGUCGUAGACAAAUUAGUUUGCAAUGAAAAUUAUUUAAUACAAGACUAUAA